GGGUGCUUGGCUGUGACAGGUGCUAAGGGCCUGGGCGUCAGCUCCUUGCGGGAGCGUCACUGCCGACCGGGAAGGGAAAGGCAAUCUUGGGGGCCUCCGGAGUCCGGAGGAUCACUCUGAUGGGUCUCCUGGCCUCAGUGAUGGAAUUAAGAUGACUUCUAUCUCUGAAUCCAAGGGUGACUGAAAGCCGCAAGCUGCAGAAAGGACAAGAGGCAUCACCUAUGUGGAUAAAGACAGCAUCCUGAGUUGAUGGAGAAAUGGCAUAGAAGGAACCAGGUCCUUUGAUGACAUCAUGGAGCAAAGCUGUCUUCUUGCCUUGACCUGCUACCUACCUACAUGGGAAGCUGUUACUUGAGAAGGCAAUAAAAUCUAUCUUCUUUAUUGA
RNAcentral lists this long non-coding RNA (385 nucleotides) under Homo sapiens (human). RNAcentral's name for it is "non-protein coding lnc-ZNF667-3:4". The record is from RNAcentral. Lineage: Eukaryota; Metazoa; Chordata; Mammalia; Primates; Hominidae.